ACAUGGCUGAAUACUGUGUUCUUUUUGUCAGUAGUUAACACAGCCAGACACCAUGCAAAAGUAAAGUUUUCCCUUUAAAAUGGUAUGAUGGUAUGCUAAGUUUUUUCAUAGCAUGCUGUUGUUAAAAAGGGGAUACAAAU
Molecule: small nucleolar RNA, 140 nt
Organism: Capra hircus (goat)
Lineage: Eukaryota; Metazoa; Chordata; Mammalia; Artiodactyla; Bovidae
Source: Ensembl